This 436-nucleotide ribosomal RNA is filed under the name uncultured Butyricicoccus sp. Its description in RNAcentral is "partial 16S ribosomal RNA". It matches the Rfam family "Bacterial small subunit ribosomal RNA", at positions 341 to 792 of the family's 1533-position model. The record is from RNAcentral. Lineage: Bacteria; Bacillati; Bacillota; Clostridia; Eubacteriales; Butyricicoccaceae.
ACGGGAGGCAGCAGUGGGGAAUAUUGCGCAAUGGGGGCAACCCUGACGCAGCAACGCCGCGUGAUUGAAGACGGUCUUCGGAUUGUAAAGAUCUUUUAUCAAGGACGAAACUCUGACGGUACUUGAUGAAUAAGCUCCGGCUAACUACGUGCCAGCAGCCGCGGUAAUACGUAGGGAGCAAGCGUUAUCCGGAUUUACUGGGUGUAAAGGGCGAGUAGGCGGGCUGGUAAGUUGGGAGUGAAAUGUCGGGGCUUAACCCCGGAACUGCUUUCAAAACUGCUGGUCUUGAGUGAUGGAGAGGCAGGCGGAAUUCCCAGUGUAGCGGUGAAAUGCGUAGAUAUUGGGAGGAACACCAGUGGCGAAGGCGGCCUGCUGGACAUUAACUGACGCUGAGGCGCGAAAGCGUGGGGAGCAAACAGGAUUAGAUACCCUGGUA